CCGUAGAAGAAGAAGCGCGCGGUGCAUGCUGGGAUAGUUGUCAGAACGCUGGUUUGUUAAUAAAGUUUGACUGACCUAUCUACCAACCGACCGUCUAUAAUCAGGUCGCCUGCAGGUCAUUUAGCACCACGUUCUCCACCAACAUGCUGUGGGCGAACGGAGAAGGGUGACCAUCGUCGAGCCACGCCCCAGCCCAGAGAUCGGAAGAGCGGAACAGC
Long non-coding RNA from Poecilia latipinna (sailfin molly), 218 nucleotides. RefSeq lists it as uncharacterized. The record is from RefSeq and is a predicted model, not a curated record. Lineage: Eukaryota; Metazoa; Chordata; Actinopteri; Cyprinodontiformes; Poeciliidae. The transcript is spliced from 3 exons.